ACACACACACACUUUUUUUCAUACGAAGUAUUAUUGUAAAGGUAAAUGCGAAACCUCAUUAUUUCCAUACUAACUAUGGUAAGCUUAGGCCCCUUUUGCGUUGACGUCCUCAUAUAUCAUUGUAGGAAUAACGACGAAAGGGAAGAUCUUCAACCGAGCAGGUAAUUGUUCGGUGGACCGACGGUCCGAAUAUUGUUGUUCGGAACUUGUAUACAGGGGGGUGCAACUCCCAUACAAAGGAAAAUAACAUACAACUAGCGUCAUCUUACUCCUGUGGCGACGUCAUUUUUGUAACUUUUAGGCAUUAAUGAUCUAAUAAACUCACUAGAUGGCAGAUAUGAGUUCUGACUCAAUAAAAAAUGUAGCGUACUUUGAAGCAGUGCUUCCACUUUUAGGGAAUUCUCCCUUUUUUAGGGAAAAAUAGCUGAUAUUUUGGAUGAUAAAGACAAUUUAAAAAAUACCAGGAUUUAGGAUAUUUCGGGGUAAAAAGCAAAGCCUAUACUAGUAACUGUUGUGAAUUUUAAAAUAAACGAUAAUUAAAGUAAAACAAUGAACAUUUUAUUUUAUGGAGAGAGAAUGACAUUAAGUCGAGUUGACAAGUAAAAGAAUAAAACAGAGUUGUGUAUAAAAACUAUAAAGGUUUGAUUCAACAGUAACCCUCUAGUAAAGUAAAUCAUAGAUUAAGCCACUGCUUUUUCUUAGGGAUUCCCCAGAAUCCCAAUAAGUAUAAUCCGCCAAAUUUUUAUUUACCUAUUUUCGUUGAUGUCACCAGAACUUACUUGUAUUGUAAUAUACAGGUACUUCAUGUACCAUGAAAGAUUAUCAUGGUAAUUUCAUUUACGAAAACCUUGUAAUUGUCAUUUCACUUUUGCUAGCAGUUCCUUCUUCAAAGACUGAGGUGGAAAGAUUAUUCAGUGUUCUCAAAUUUAAAAACUGACAAAAGAAACAGGCUUUCUAAUGAAACCCUGAACGGCUUGCUUCAUAGAAAGUUCCCAACUUUGCCAGCAAACAAUUGCUCAAUUUUAGAACCGAACAGUGUUAGGUUGUGCAGCAAAAGAAUAUAAAAGCAAUGCGUCGACUUCCUUGAAAAUUCUAAUCCUAUAGAUCUAUGUUCUUCUGGGGGCGUUUAUAUUAUAUAUACCUACAUUAAAUAAUAUGCUGUGGUUUAUUUUCUGUAUUUUAUUUACGCUUUCUAUAUAAAGGAUUUAUGAAAGUUGUCUAGGAAAUUUUAGGGUAAAUUCAAAAGAAACUAGGGUAAAAUGUGUUAAAAAAAACGUAAGUGGAAACACUGCUUUGAAGUUUUCAAAAUUCCAGGGCCGUAAAACAAUCUCAAAAAAAAAAAAAGUUUUCAAAAUGUCGUAACGAUUUAAUUUUUUAAAUCGUUUUUUUUUGGUCUUGGUGUGAGUUAUUUUACGUUGUAGUAUUAAUUUAGAGCAACUUUUAGCUUUAUGAGAAUAUUAGACGAUUAGACAUUGAGAAACUCUGUUUUGAAUUCUCUUUAGACAUAACUUGGCUCCAAUACUUUUUUCUUCGUUAGCGUUUCGUAAGCCUGUGUAACUAUUUUCAUUUCUUACAGAAUGUUUAUUAUUAAAAAUCAGCAUGCCUCGAAGAUCGAAAAUGAAAUGCUAUUUCGGAUGCCUUGAUAACGACAAAGGUUUGAUAAUGACAAAAUUUUAUGGAAAAAUUAUAAGGAGCACUAAAAUGUCUGAAACAUGAAAAGAUUGAUGCACUAUAUUUGAACCAGAACGUGUUAUGUAAUAUAUUAAUUUAAGAGAAACUGAUUCAGCAAGGAAUGUGAACUCUCAAGGGAUCUUAAUUUUUUUUAAAUAUGUUUAUAAUUGAUAAAUUAAUAAUUGAAAUAGUUCAUAAGAACUAAAUUGAUGCCAAUUUUGUUUUAAAAUAGGUUGUUUAGUUCUUAUAGUUAUAGUAUUACGUUUGAAUAGUUGUAAUUAGUAAGUUAGUAAUAUAUGAAAAUACUGAUAUAAAUUUUUGUAAAUAACCUUUUGUAAAUUCUACGAGAAGAUGAUUUUAAUUAAUGAUCAAAAGUCAACGGUCUUUAAAAGCAUUAUUUGCAAUUAUUUAGAUUAACUGUGGAAUAUAUUUGCUAAGUUGUGUUUUCUGUAUGAGCAGAUAUAAAUGAAAAUGCCCAAACAUGAUUAUGUUUCUUACAUUUUCAUUAUGUGAAAUCAAUAUGCUUGUGACUGAGUAUAUUAAUAAUUUAUUAAAACUUAAGUGAUAGACAGCAACCCCUAUGGCACUGCUGAAGUUUAUAAGCACUGGUGACCACUUAUCAUGGGCCGGGUUGCGUGCUCGUCUGCUGUUGAGUGCAAUAAAAAUUUUCGAAACCCUUUCUAUUAUUUAGAUGUAAUAUUAGUGUACAUUUAAUUUGGAUUAAAAGAUAAAUUUACAUUUUAUGUUUGCAUGUGUAUGUUUAUAAUUCAUUUGCAUGUAACGAACACCAGUUUCUUUUGUAACAAAAUUCAAACUAAUGGUUUGCAAUGAAUGUAAUUAACUUUAAUUAUGAUGAUUUUCUUUCAAUCUGCUGUUUGUUUUAUCUAGUAUUACCAAAGCUAAAGCGUCACAAACGUCAGAAUAGAAAUAAAUUAGAAGGGAAAUAAAACUAUAACUAUUGUAAUCAUGUCUAAGAUUUCUAUAAGCGUCAUUAAGUACAAACUAUCAAUAUUUAAGAGUACUUUAAAUCAUCAUUACAAUUUUUCCACAUUUUUAUUUUUUCAAAUUACGUAAAAAACGUUUUGUGCAGAACAAAAUGUCACAUAUUAUGAACCAUUCUGGGUUAAUUGUUUCUUAAAUGUGUAAAUAUUUAUAAGAGUGCUAAGAAUAAUUUAGUAUUCACUUUAGUGUGUGUAUUAUCUCUACAAUGCUAGUUUAAAUGACAAUUAUUGUAUGACGAAGCAUAGAUAGUGUUUAUAGAUGUAAGAUUUUCGUACAAGGUCAUGAUCUGUCAUGAUCAACUUUAAGCAAGAACUGCUAUCAUUGUGAAACAAAUUUAUUAAAUUUAAUUCAAAUUGUCUACUAUGUUUGUAAUGGAAAGCUGACAUGUUUAUAUUUCGCACGAAUGACUUGAUUGAGAUGGAAUGAUUUGAUUAUCUAGACUUAUUUAACUUUUAGAUAACUUUCGAUUUAAUGUUAUUAAGUACUCUAGUAGGAUUAAUCUAGAGGAGUUAUUGUUAUUCGAAAUUUUAUACAAUUGUACGUUCAUACUAUCUUUUAACAGUAAAUUGUUUGUAAUAUAGGGAAAUUAAAUAGCUUACAGAGAA
Bombyx mori (domestic silkworm) is the source of this 3278-nucleotide long non-coding RNA. RefSeq lists it as uncharacterized. The transcript is spliced from 3 exons. Lineage: Eukaryota; Metazoa; Arthropoda; Insecta; Lepidoptera; Bombycidae. The record is from RefSeq and is a predicted model, not a curated record.